GCCUCUGCCUGUGAGCACGUGACCGUGCGCAUGCGGGGCGCGGCUGCGUGAGGGGACGCGGCGCGCGCGGUUGCCGGGUGUGAGGAGAUGCGUGUGUCCGUGUGUCCGUCCCGCCUUUGCGACCCGCCGCCCCCCCGCCCCGGUCAGUUGUGAGGGGACGGCGACACCGAGCGGCAGCGGUCGUGGCCGUGUGCAUGCCCACGUGGUGCCUUUCAACACCGGCUGUGCAGAGCCCGUGGGGGGAGAGGCUGAGGGAAUGGCUGGGAAGGGAACCAGAUCCCAAGCUUCUCUUUGUGCUGAGGCAUUCAGGCUGCUGUUUCUUCAGAGCCUGUGAUGAAGAAGGGACCAGGAUUCACUGAAAGGGGGAGGAAUCGGUUCACAAAGCCACGCCAAGUGCUCAGCUGAGGAAGGCGGGCCCCAAGGAUGGAGGCAAAGCACGAGGGAAAGCUGGCGGAUGCACCUUGUGCAGAAGUACCACAGCUGGGAGAGGAGACUUCAGAAGACGGGAGAGUGACAGAAGUACACUCGAUUGCAUGGAUAUUGCCAUUGGGGUUUUACCUCCUCUCCUCUCUCAUUGCGUGAUGUGAAACAUUGAUACCAGCUCCCAAGUAUGCUCCGAGCUGCUCCUGCCUUCAAAUCCAUUCAAAAGUUUCUACUUUUCAGUCUGGUCAGGCCCUUUGGUCUCCUCACUUUGAGGUCAUGAAGCUGCUUGUGAUGCUACAAACCAGGGGCAGCUGAGAUCCUGAGACUUAAGUUUCUCCAGGUGCAUCUUACAGUGGCUCAGGGCAGUGCUGAUGUGAAGCCACGUUGAUCAAUAAACAGCUCUUGACAGGACCGGAAGGGUGCGAUAUGAACUACUAGAUACAUACAAGAUACAGACAUUGGAAAAACAAAGAACAGGUUUCUGCUGCCUUUGGAUGUGGAGAUACAGGAUGCUGACAGCUGGGAGGAAAAAUGAAAUUCAGAGCCAGAUGUGAUAGUGAGCUCCUUCGCACCUUCUCUGCUCUGCCAGUUGCAGUGUCACACUGGGCCAGGAUGAAGAACUUCCACUACUUCAGGUAACUGCAACCGUUGCGCCGCUAUCCCCGCUUGAUCACGUGCAACAGCAUCACUAAUAACAGACACAGUUACUUGGGUAUCUCUGGUUGGAGGUGCUUGUUUGUAUGUGAAUGCUGAUGUGUGGGUGAGAGAUCCUCAGCCUCAUGUGAAAAAACUCAACGUCUCAGCCCCACAGCCUGUCUGCGAGCUUCCCACUGUCUCUCAUAGAAGUUCGUUCCUCGCCUUCCUCCCUUAUUUUCAACUUUCAUACUCGUGCAGCUGGAUGCUUAUUUAUAUUCAUUUACCCCUCACCUUCUCUGAAUGUCCCUGGGGGAAUCUGAAGAGUCUAAUAGUGCAGUUAGUGCCGUUCAUAGUCAGGAGCAGGGGACACCAAGGCUGGGUUUGAGGAGUAAGCGGGGAGGCUCGGCUGAAUGCUUCUGGCUAUGUUCUGUUUUCUGGGUGUCCCAUGGCUUUCGCUAUGACCAGUCCCAGACUGCAGGAAGAGCUUUGGUGAGCAUCUGGUGUAGCUGUCUCUCCCUUCAAGCUUUUGCAUAUUACACACAGGAAAUACACCAAAAGCCCAAACUGCUUAAACCUGCUGGGUGAAUUUAAGCAAGUCUAGCCUGUAAUUGCCCUCUGCCUGGGACACAGGCAUGAGGUCCCUGACCUCUGUGAAAACCCAGCCAGUGGUGUCUUUUCUCUUCCACCUUCGCGAUAGCCUGACUUCCUAGGAACUCCUGGAGUUGGUGCUUUUGUCUGCCUGUGCCUGUUGGUGGGUAACAAUUACCUCUCCUGACCCUCUCAGACAUGUUGGGCAAGGGGCUGAUGCCCCAAAGACAAUUAAUUCCUAGAAUCUCUAUAAAGAGGAGGAGGAGGAGAAGAGUCGCUCUCAGUCCACAGAGGGAAGGCACCAACCUAAAGCCGGUUCCAUCAGCGCCUUGCUCUCGGCAUCACUUGUUGGCAGUUUCAGCGUCAUGCAAAGGACGUGGUGCCGCCUGGUGCCAGGCUGCUGCACCGGCACCGCCAGCCCCGCCGCGGUACCAUCGCCCCUUCAGAGCCCAGGACCAGCCCAGCCCCUCUUUAACCUGAGUGUCACGAGUGCACAGCCCUGCUUACGCAUUUGCAAAGGCAGAAGCAGAGCCGCAGCGUGUCCUCCCGCACCAGUUUGAGCGAGUCUUCAAACCGCACUGGUUUGGGGCAGAGUGGAUGAAACUCGCUUCUCCCUGCAGUGCUCGUAGGGGUCCCAUGGAGCACAAGAAAUGAGUUGCAGAGAGGAAAUGAGACACGCUCUGGAGUUUAAUGGCCAGUUUUAGGGCAUGACUUUGGGCAUUAUUAUAAAGCUGAAGACAAAGACCGAGGCUGCAGAACGGGUACUCACCACCAUCCAUGGUCGUGUUUCAAACCGAGAUGAAGUCCAAGGUGAACAGGAGCAUCGUACGUUCCCGCGCAGCCUCAGCACGCCGGGGACCCUCUUGGGGACGCUGUCUUUUAUACUUCCUGCACCUCUGCAAGAAGCUCAUGACACAGCCUGAUGUCACUGACACUUCGCAGACCCUCCUCCUCCUCCCGGCAGCGCAGGAGAGUCGCCGUGCGCCACGCUGCUCUCGGCACUCGGCGUUCGGGCGCUUCCUCGGCGCACGCGGCUGAGGGCUGCACACAUUUUUUAGUGAUACUCGGUAGAAUGAAGCGCGUUCUGCUUUUGCACCGACACACGAGAAGUUGUGGUGAAGGAACGGGAGGAAAGUCUCCUUUAGUGUUCUCUCUCCUCUCCACAGCAGAUCUGCUUCAUCUGCUAGAGCAUCCAGCAGAGCGCAGUGCGGCGGGGAUGGGGGAUCCCUGUCCCCUGUCCCUGUCACCUCCACCAGACCCUCUUGGAAAAAGCGUUCAACCACCACAUGAAAAACCCCAGUGCGCAGGACUCCCAGCGUGGCUUUGCCCGUCUCCCACUUGCUCACAGCAUCCUCUCUGAAUUAUCAGCAGCUCAGGCGAGUAGGGGACUCCCCCCGCUUUCUGUUUUUGACUGUUUGUGUGUUACCGGGUAUCAGCAUCCACCAUCUCCCCCAAAACAUGCAGGAUCUGGAUCCACCAUCCUUACCCAAAGUCGGGGGCUUGGAGACAUUGGGGCAUUUUCACCAUUCACACAAGGUGACCUGCACUUUCCAUAGCACCCUCUAACUACACACCCCUGGCUUUCCAGCACGCUCGGUUUGGCUUAUCUCGGUAAGCGGGUCCGGCUCACAUCUCUGUGACACUGUUUAUUGCUCUGUUCUCCUUUGGUUCAUCGAUGAUCCGAGCAGGUACGCUGCCUCUGAGCUUUAUCUUUUCACCACUUCCGCCAAGAAGCACUAGAGAUGAAAGGCUUCUCUCAGGUACAGGCAGAAUACACAGAAAUGGUGGGUGUGAAGCCUUCGAACAGUCGCGGUGCUGCCUGUGGCGUGGUGGGUGCGCAGAGAUCCGCACCAUCACCCGAUUUCCUCGGUGCUCGCGCUGUGCCCGGAGCGGAGGAUCCAUCCCGGCUCCGUGGUGGCUGAAGCCAAAGACAACAAGCGAAAGGCAGGUGGUUUGCAGUUUGUUUUCUGCACGUACUCCCAAGCUUUAACUUCAGAUUUUUGGCCUGUGCUGAGUUGCGUGUUUUCAGAGCCAAUUCAAGCAAAUUGUUUCCCUUAAAAAAAAGAAUGGGAAUAUUAUAAAAUAAGCACCUUGCUCUGUCUUUAUGACACUCCGUCUUCUUGUACAGUCAUGUUUCGUACCUGGGGAGUUCUCAAAACAUUUAUUAAAGCUUUGCUUAAUUUGAUUGUGUAUAUUUGCAGUCUGUUUCAUGCCUUAGUGAUUCUGUCUCUGACAGAUUCCCUUUAACACUUGUGCCGUCAUUGAGAGAAAUCUGAUCCUGCACGAGCAAACAUCACAUUUCUCACCAGUGCCAGGCCGGAGCUGUGCCCGAGAGAGCCGAGUGGGCUGUUUGCUCUCUAGAACACGUUUGUUACCCUAAAGAUAAAUUAACUAUUAAAAAAUCAAGUUACCUGGUGUUUUCAGUCUUAUGUGAGAACCUCUGCUCACCUUCACUGCCGGAAGAGUGGAAAUCAGCGAUUCCAAUCCAUGGCUUGGGCUGCAGUGCUGGAGCGGGAUGGCGGUUGUUCAUCAAUAUAACUUGUCAAAAGAAAGUUCCGUUCCUAAUAAAUUCCACAGGAAACGAGCUCAGAAAGAAAGAUUUCAGUUCUUGAACUGAAACGUUGUGUUUGCUCAACUGAGUUGAAACAUGUAAUCGUUAAUUGAGCUGACAGUGAAUUGCAACUCGUUCAGCAGUGAAACAUCUCAUGGGAGUUUAGUUCCUGUAUCUCACAUUCGUGUCCUGUGUGUGAAAUUGGGCUUUUUGCAGUCUGUCCUUCCGCCGGGACACACAGACAUGCCAAGGUGAAGGACCCGCUGUCUCCCAGGAGGUGCUGACCGGCCAGCACGUGUGAUCUGAGAAAGCAGAACUCGUGAGCACUUUAGCAAGGUGUAAUUCAUUCUGAGAACAGCAAAACGCAAGGUGUUUUUACAUCCUGAAUUCAAAGCCUCCCUGUGUUUUCCACUGAUUUUGCUUUAAGUGAAUUGAGAUGAAAACAGACUCUGAAACAUCGGUUUCCCAGCGGGUGGAGGGUCCGUGCGGCUGCGGGCGGCUCUGCCCACGGUGCACAAGACCCCCGGCACCGCUUCAGGGAUCCGCUCACACGGCACAAGUGGUUUCAGGUAGGAAAACCGAGGUCCUGCAGCCCAGCUUCAGGCUGAGCACCGAAGGGGGUUUUGCAGACCAGUAAAAGCACCACAGUUCACAUCGAGCUAUCGUAGGUCCCUGGCAAACCGCUGACCUGUCCUCUUCCCUGCGCCCUGCCACAGGACACGGAUGGAAACCCCAGCUACCUCUCCUGCUCUCAGCUCUGCUGUUCUGCUCUUUCGCUGAUCCAAAGCACCAGGAAGGCUUUCUCCCCUUGGCUGCAGGAAGCCAGUUGCCCACACAGAAGCACUGAGGAAGCAAUCAGAGCAGCAGGCAGGCGCUGUCAGGGUCGCGCAUUUGCCCACGUUGCCUGUUGGUCAGCCGCAGGAGGGAAGGACGCGCUGCUGGUAUCGCUGGGAAUGCACCCGCUCCAUCCCUGCGUCACGUCUCGGGUGAUGGCCUUUCGCUCCGGUUCUUUUUUGAGGGGGGAAAAACAAAAGGCACUUGUAGCAGGUUGGCAUUUGCUCUGCGCUAAAGCAGCUUCCUCAACCCGCAGUCCAGGAAUCGAGCUGUGACGAAGGAAACACACCCAGAGACCCGAGUGGGGACAGGUCAGGCUGGCAGAAGCGCAGAUGCUCCGGUGUCACCGCUGCGGUGCAGGGGACAAGCUGGGUCAUCAGCUGCUGACUGCAUGUGCUGCUGUUCCUCUGUCCCCUCCGGCCACAGGUGAGAUUUGCUCCACUUUGUCCACACCACCAGCUCCUUUUUAAACAGAAUCACAGAAUGGACUGGGUUGGAAAAGCCCUCAGAGAUCAUCCAGUCCAACCCUUGGUCCAACUCCAGCCCAUUCACUAGAUCAUGGCACUAAGUGCCAUGUCCAAUCUCAGCUUAAAAACCCCCAGGGCCGGUGAGUCCAGCACCUCCCUGGGCAGCCAUUCCAAUGCCUGACCACUCUCUCUGCAAAGAAUUGAUUCCUAAUAUCCAGCCUCAAUUUCCCCUGGCAGAGUUGAAGCCCAUGGCCCCUUGUCCUAUUGCUGAUGCCUGGGAGAAGAGCCCAAUCCCCACCUGGCUAGAACUGUCCUUCAGGUAGUUCUAGAGAGUGCUGAGCUCACCUCUAAGCCUCCUCUUCUCCAGACUGAACAAGCCCAGCUCCCUCAGCCUCUCCCCAUAGGGCUUGUGUUCAAGUCCCUUUCCCGGUCUUGUUGCUCUUGUAUAUAGAGGGGCCUGCAAUGAACAAACUAACCCCUCCUGCCCUGAACUAACAUGGAAGAGCCAGUGGUCACCCCAGAAGAGCAGGGGGGGAAAGGACAGGAGAUAAAAAAUACAAAGAGAAGCUCCUGACACAUUAUAGGAACCACAGAUCGUAUCUAGAGGGGGUUUUGAAACCUCCUGGCGCUUUGUUCCCACACAGGUGGGCAGACGGCUGGGAAGUUCCCACAGGACACCACACAUUAGGGAGAAAUGAAUUGUUCAGGGACAUAAAGAAACAGCUUUUUGGCUUCUGAAAGAAUUGAGGGUUCCGGCGUCUGCCGACCGCACCGCAAACGUCCUCCUGUGAGCCCUCCUUGUCGUACUCAGAACGUGCAAGAUGCGACACCCCAGCCUUGUUUCAAAGACCACAAGGGAUGGUAUAGAAGUGGAAUAAUCCCAUCAGUGGUUUCCCCAGGAGCUCCUCCAGUCCUGUCUAUGACAGAUCUGUUGUUCUUCGACCCUGGGCUUAAGAAAUGAUAUAUAGUGAUUUUUCACUUGUUUGCCGUUGUUACCGUCACUCUUGCUGGUUUGGCUUCUCCCCCACCCCCCCUAGAAUGGGCGCCAGGAUUGAAAGGGCUUUUUCUUGCCUUUUUAAUAGAAUUGAGUGAAAAAGCUAAAUUGAAACUACCUGUUUACAGAAACUAUAGACUUCUGUAAGUCACCAGUGAAGCCAUACGUGAUAACUUACAACAAAAUAAGACACCAACCCAAUAACUGCAAAACCACUUCAAAAAAACCCCUUGAAGACCAGGGCGGGGGGAAAAAAAGCAACAAAGUGAAAGAAGGGAACUGAGAACAAAAACAGUGAGACACAGACCCGACCAGAGCGGAUCCCUGCUCAAAGGGCUCUCGAUCUCCACCUCGUUAUCACCAAAAUCGCACUGGGGAGAGAUUUGCAAGAAUCACCAUCAAUAAUACCCUGUGUACACAGGGGAGGCUUCGGAUCCAGGAGUCAAAGCACUCGAUUAAGCGCUGAAAACCUCCAGCAAGUGUCGCAGGUUCCUUAGGGCACAAAGUCACGGCUGCGAUGGGUCUGGGGUGGAACUGGGGCUCGCGGGGGGAAUGGGAGGGAAUUACGGCUCCGUGUGUCUGAUGUGAUUAAACACAGCGCAAUUAAACACUCCGCAAUCCUGCAGUUGAUAUCCGGGAGAGCUUAAAGCUGGAGUCACAGCACCCACAGCUGCGUUCCUGUCUGGGUUGGAGUCAGCGAGGACGGACAGACAGCACAGCAAGGGGCCAAUCCAGAGCCAGCGCGGUUCCUGGCAGCCGCGGGUUGUUGAAUGACGGUCUCUCCAAUCUCUCAACAGGGUUUGAGGGACUCCUGGUGGCAGCGCCGGCUCCAGCUCACGCGCCUCCGCGAGCGCAGACCCGCACCCCUUCUCAUCCCGAACCCGCCGCGAGGAGGGUUUUGCUCAAUAUUCCAGAAAUCAGGAGUGCUGGGAACGCUUGUGGGAGGAUGGAAGGAGAGGGAGCAAAGACAGUUUUAACGGCGCUGCGUCAGCACAAGGGAAAAACAAACCAAAGAAAACAACUCCCUUACCGCAAUACGAUGAUUUGGAUUUGCCUCUUCGUUUCCUCGUUGAUCCUUUGUGUGUGUGAAGGACCCGCUGGCUCUGACACCCCAGUGUCCCCACACCCCGGGACAGCCAGGGGAAG
This is a long non-coding RNA of Columba livia (rock pigeon), 7639 nucleotides long. RefSeq lists it as uncharacterized. The transcript is spliced from 12 exons. The record is from RefSeq and is a predicted model, not a curated record. Lineage: Eukaryota; Metazoa; Chordata; Aves; Columbiformes; Columbidae.